This is a non-coding RNA of Coturnix japonica (Japanese quail), 3053 nucleotides long. The record is from RefSeq and is a predicted model, not a curated record. Lineage: Eukaryota; Metazoa; Chordata; Aves; Galliformes; Phasianidae.
GCACUGAAUUCAAAACUCCAACCCAAAAAAAUUCUUUCAGCUGUCAUGGAUCCCUCAUCUCUCUUUAAAGCACUGCAGGAAAAUAUUAUCCAGGCUCAGCUGAAUGGUCAAAAAUAGUCAAUUGCACCGAAGUGAUACAGGUAGAACAGCUGAAGGAAGCAGAGGAAAGAAAUGAGAUGCAAUUUCAUAGAAUUCUAAUCCAUCCUAUCACAAAGGUAAAGCUCUUCUCAGUAAGAAUUGGAACUUUUUUUUUUCCUGGUGCAUACACAGCUAUCAGCAAUGAAUUGGCUGCUCUCCAGGUAGAGCUUCUGUUUACUGAUCCUGCACAGGUGAAGUGAAUCAAGCUCAGGGGAGGGCUGUGGUUUGGUUUGGAACACUUCAAAUAUGGAGCAGAGGAGUAAAUGAAAUUCCCUCACACCUUGGUGUGGUUGAUGGCAUUAUAUAGGAUGAAAGGAAAGGGAGGUAAGGGGAGGUAAUGUAUGAGCUAGGAUGUGGUCGUUAGGAAGGUCUUUCUUGUCUGCUUACCGCUUCUUUGAGGCCAUAUCUGGACUUCUGUAAGCCUUCUCUAAUCUGAACUGAUGCAAUCAACAAGCUCCGCCAUGUGGAGAUCAUUAGCAGCUCCUAGACUUACUGAGAUGCGACUAUCUUAAAAAUUCAGCAGUUGGCCUCAUGGCAGAGGAAGCCAAAAGAAAUCUGUCGUUGUGCAUCUGACUCAUCUUUGGAGAAAAAUGGAGAGAUUAGAAGAAGGAACAGCAAGAGGAACAAAACCAGUGCUUAAGUUCCUGAAGAAACAGAGCUUAACCGUGCAUUCUCUGGACCUUGGAUAAUUUGCAGAAAGCAUCUGAUGAAUGAGGGGCCUUUGGAACAGGAAUUAGUUUCCAUUUCAACGAUGAAGCUUCAUGUGGCCACAGCAAGCACGCACAGCUCUGCUCUGCUGAAAUGAGCUUUUGUCCCAGUCCUCCCAUGCCACAGCUCACUACCAGGAAAAGAAGAGCAACUCUCUUCAUGGUGAGAGGAAUUGACUGCGAUCCUUCAGCAAAAUGAUCUGAAAAAGUGGAAGUAGUAAGUGCCCGGCUGCUCUCAAUUUAAAGGCUUGGUGCACAAAGAAGCCUCUUUCCAGCUACAUGUGGGAUGGAUGUAAUUUUUUCAUAUUUAUUUAAAUAAUAAAUCACCCUUCAGUAGGCAUGUACCCAUAAUUUAUAGCCUGAGGAAGUGUCGAAUAAGCUGUGAACUCUCAUGAAGGUAACAAGACAAAUCUUGUAAAUGCAGUUAAAUACAGAACGAUAGUUGUAUAACUGAGAAGCACAUUCCUACCCAUAAUGAACAUGUCAUAUUUGAUUUUUAACAGGUCUUUUCCAUUCUCCAGCUGCUUUAUAGCUAUCUUCAAGACAGAACUUGUAAUGCCAUUUUAAAGUAAAAAAGAUAAAAGUGUCAAAGCAAUCUAUGCAGCUACAACUGGAUUGAUCAUUGAUGAUUAUGCACAUGUGAAUCUAAUGAGAUUCAACAAGGCCAAGUGUAAGGUGUUGCACUUGGGUUGGGGCAAUCCCAGAUAUGGCUACAGACUGGGAGAAGAACUCACUGAGAGCAGCCCUGCACAGAAGGACUUGAGGGUCUUGAUGUCCAAAGGUUGGACCUGAGCCAGCAGUCUGCACUUACAGCCCAGAAGGCCAACAGCAUCUUGGGCUGCAUACACAGAAGUGAAGCCAGCAGGGAGACUGAAGGGAUUGUCUCCCUCUGCUCUGCCCUCAGGAGACCCCAAGUGCAGUAGUGUGUCCAGGCCUGUGGCCCCCAGCACAAGAAGGACACAGUGCUGUUGGAGAAGGUCCAGAGGAUGCUCCGCUAUAAAGAAAGGCUGAGAGAGCUGGGCUUGUUCAGCUCAGAGAAGAGAAAGCUCCAGUGAGACUUCGAUGCAGCCUUCUAGUACUUGAAGGAGCUUAUAAGCUGGAGGGAGAUUGACUUUUUACAUGUGCAGAUGAUGAUAGGACAAGAUGAACAGAUAUUUAGAGGAGGUAAUUUUUUACUCAGAGGGUGGUGAGAAGCUCCGUCAAAAAGGCUCAAUGUUCUUUCAGUCUUUCCUGCUCCCAUCCUUGGUCUUUUAUCCUACAUGAGCUAAAGUUUCCACAAAAUGUAAAAUGCAUAGCAAAAAAAUUUGUUACUGAAAUAAAAAUCUUAAAAAGUGAUUUUGCUUUUUUUAAAACUCAUUGCAAAUAUUCUGAAACAGGUUUACCUGACAAAACAACUGAGAAUCAAACAUCAGCUAGUUAAGCAAGUUAUUUUUUAUUUAAAUGAACUGGGAACAUCUUCUCAAAUUAAAAAUAGAAGCUUUAAAAAAUCUACAGUUCUGAACAUUACAUAUACACAUUAUGCUACAUACUGUCAAUUAGGAAUGCUUUGAUUCGUGACCUAAAACUGAGAAAAUAAGGUUAUUGCAGAUUGAAGAUUGGUAAGACUUUUAAUAGUUAUUUGAAUGAUUUUCAGGAUUGCCCCUACUUCAAACCACUGGCAUAUGAAGAGACACUAUUUGAGACCAAUAUGCCCAAUUAUUUCACACACUGUAAUGUUUUACACUAGUAAGUUUAACACUUGCUGCCCUUUUGAUGAAUUCUGCUGUUAACUAAUUCAGCAACACACUCGUAUGCCUAAAUUCAAGGCAAUAACUCUAACAGUAGAAAUGUUAACUCCAGUUGCUAAAUGUCUGAACAUCAAUACUGGAAAUCAUAUCUUGAAAUUAUGAGACAGAAUUAUUAUCACUGGCCCCUGAAAGAGGUGCAGUCGAACAGUGAUGCUAUUAAGGACGUUAAGGAAGUGGGUACAAAUUAGGAAAUGGGAGACAGGAUGUAAAGCAUUCUACAAGUCACCAACAUUAUGACAUCUUUCAUGCUCUUUUUGCAUACUACUGCACUUCAGAAAGCUUAGCUUUUUGCUGCAUGAAGCAUUACGCGUACUCCCAGCCCUCCCACCCAAAUACAUUUUCAAAACAAACGUCUCCCUUUUAGGUCUAUACUGCAAAAAUCACUAAACAUUAAAUAAUAAUUAAAAAAAAAAAAAAAAAG